GAUGAACGCUGGCGGCGUGCCUAAUACAUGCAAGUCGAGCGAACGGACGAGAAGCUUGCUUCUCUGAUGUUAGCGGCGGACGGGUGAGUAACACGUGGAUAACCUACCUAUAAGACUGGGAUAACUUCGGGAAACCGGAGCUAAUACCGGAUGAUAUUUUGAACCGCAUGGUUCAAACGUGAAAGACGGUCUUGCUGUCACUUAUAGAUGGAUCCGCGCUGCAUUAGCUAGUUGGUAAGGUAACGGCUUACCAAGGCAACGAGGCAUAGCCGACCUGAGAGGGUGAUCAGCCACACUGGAACUGAGACACGGUCCAGACUCCUACGGGAGGCAGCAGUAGGGAAUCUUCCGCAAUGAGCGAAAGCCUGACGUAGCAACGCGGCGAGAGUGAUGAAGGUCCACGGAUCGUAAAACUCUGUUAUUAGGGAAGAACAUAUGUGUAAGUAACUGUGCACAUCUUGACGGUACCGAAGCAGAAAGCCACGGCUAACUACGU
RNAcentral lists this ribosomal RNA (496 nucleotides) under uncultured bacterium. RNAcentral describes it as "partial 16S ribosomal RNA". It matches the Rfam family "Bacterial small subunit ribosomal RNA", at positions 28 to 506 of the family's 1533-position model. The record is from RNAcentral.